UUGUCUUUUAAAUGAAGACCCGUAUGAAUGGCACAACGAGGGCUUAACUGUCUCCUUUUUCCAGUCAAUGAAAUUGAUCUUCCCGUGCAGAAGCGGGAAUAUUCACAUAAGACGAGAAGACCCUAUGGAGCUUUAGACACCAGAAUAGACUAUGUUAUGCACACCUAAUAAAAGGUUAAAACUGAUUAACCCCUAUUCCAAUGUCUUUGGUUGGGGCGACCGCGGGGCAACAAAAAUCCCCCACGUGGACCGAGAGCACCUCGCUCCUACAACCCAGAGUUACAACUCAAAGUAACAGAACUUCUGACCAACAAGAUCCGGCACAGCCGAUCAACGGACCGAGUUACCCUAGGGAUAACAGCGCAAUCCCCUUUCAGAGCCCAUAUCGACAAGGGGGUUUACGACCUCGAUGUUGGAUCAGGACACCCUAAU
RNAcentral lists this ribosomal RNA (432 nucleotides) under Benitochromis aff. finleyi 'Njombe'. Its description in RNAcentral is "partial 16S ribosomal RNA". It matches the Rfam family "Bacterial large subunit ribosomal RNA", at positions 1969 to 2551 of the family's 2925-position model. Lineage: Eukaryota; Metazoa; Chordata; Actinopteri; Cichliformes; Cichlidae. The record is from RNAcentral.